Molecule: ribosomal RNA, 110 nt
Filed under: Litoribacillus peritrichatus
Lineage: Bacteria; Pseudomonadati; Pseudomonadota; Gammaproteobacteria; Oceanospirillales; Oceanospirillaceae
Also listed under: 1 other name
Source: RNAcentral
UGACGACCAUAGCGACUGUGAACCACCUGAUCCCAUUCCGAACUCAGAAGUGAAACCGGUCCGCGCCGAUGGUAGUGUGGGGUCUCCCCAUGUGAGAGUAGGUCAUCGUC